Molecule: ribosomal RNA, 384 nt
Filed under: uncultured bacterium
Lineage: Bacteria
Description: bacterial SSU rRNA
Rfam family: Bacterial small subunit ribosomal RNA
Source: RNAcentral
AUUGAACGCUGGCGGCAUGCCUUACACAUGCAAGUCGAACGGCAGCACGGGAGCAAUCCUGGUGGCGAGUGGCGAACGGGUGAGUAAUAUAUCGGAACGUGCCCGGUCGUGGGGGAUAACGUAGCGAAAGCUACGCUAAUACCGCAUACGAUCUACGGAUGAAGGCGGGGGAUCGCAAGACCUCGCGCGAUUGGAGCGGCCGAUAUCAGAUUAGGUAGUUGGUGAGGUAAAGGCUCACCAAGCCGACGAUCUGUAGCUGGUCUGAGAGGACGACCAGCCACACUGGGACUGAGACACGGCCCAGACUCCUACGGGAGGCAGCAGUGGGGAAUUUUGGACAAUGGGCGCAAGCCUGAUCCAGCAAUGCCGCGUGCAGGAUGAAGG